This 253-nucleotide ribosomal RNA is filed under the name uncultured bacterium. Its description in RNAcentral is "partial 16S ribosomal RNA". It matches the Rfam family "Bacterial small subunit ribosomal RNA", at positions 524 to 776 of the family's 1533-position model. The record is from RNAcentral.
GACGAACCGUACGAACGUUAUUCGGAAUUACUGGGCUUAAAGGGUGCGUAGGCGGCGCAGUAAGUUGGGUGUGAAAUCCCUCGGCUUAACCGAGGAAUUGCGCCCAAAACUACUGUGCUCGAGGGAGGUAGAGGUGAGCGGAACUUAGGGUGGAGCGGUGAAAUGCGUUGAUAUCCUAAGGAACACCGGUGGCGAAAGCGGCUCACUGGACCUCUUCUGACGCUGAGGCACGAAAGCGUGGGGAGCAAACAGG